UUCUCCUACGGGAGGCAGCAGUGAGGAAUAUUGGUCAAUGGAGGCAACUCUGAACCAGCCACGUCGCGUGAAGGAAGACGGCCCUACGGGUUGUAAACUUCUUUUGUAAGGGAAUAAAGUGCAGUACGUGUACUGUUUUGCAUGUACCUUA
This 151-nucleotide ribosomal RNA is filed under the name uncultured Bacteroides sp. RNAcentral's name for it is "partial 16S ribosomal RNA". It matches the Rfam family "Bacterial small subunit ribosomal RNA", at positions 334 to 482 of the family's 1533-position model. The record is from RNAcentral. Lineage: Bacteria; Pseudomonadati; Bacteroidota; Bacteroidia; Bacteroidales; Bacteroidaceae.